RNAcentral lists this unclassified non-coding RNA (820 nucleotides) under Zea mays. Its description in RNAcentral is "misc RNA Zm00001eb044460". Lineage: Eukaryota; Viridiplantae; Streptophyta; Magnoliopsida; Poales; Poaceae. The record is from RNAcentral.
CCAGACAUGGGGCUCCAGAGCCAUCGAGAAAGCUCACGUGGAAAGCGCAAAACUCAUCUGCCCUGCACCCCCGCCUAUCCUCUACUCCUCUCCAUUGCAGCAGCAGAGCUCGCCGCCGAUGGACGAGGGGUCAUCGAAGAGGGCGCAGGAUAUCGCGCAACAGCGGGAGGGGAUGCUAAGGAGAUGUUGCACGUCCUCACCGAAUUCGAGUACGAGCUCUCGCUCACCAACCUCGUCGAGAAGGCCGCGGGCGGGGGCGGCGGAGCCGAAGCUACGCCCCGCACCCAAGACAGAGGGAAAGGACCGGAGCGCCGCACAGCCAGCAGCAGCUAACGUCGAUAGCGAGGAGUCCCGGGCGGAGGUAGUUGGUGGGGGCAGCUUCCACAGCAUCAACGAUGGCGUCUUGCUCACCUUCUACAUGUCGCGGGCGCCCACCUGGAGCUUCAUCGUGCGCCUUGCUCGAACGCCAUCGUCCGCCUCCAUCUGCCGGAGCCCCAACGUCGCAUCUGACUGUAGGAAGAGGUGAUUAAUCAAUCAUCUCCGAGCUCCAAAACAUGUCCGAAGUUCAAACGCUACGUAGGCGUUAGCCAUGUGACUUGAUUGUUCUGUUUAAUCUAAUUUCUUAAAGGCGCGGUCAUCCUGUCUCCUCUUUUUUUUUGUUCUCUUGGAUCUUCCAUUUGUUGGCGCAAACAGAUCCUCGGUAUUUUUCGGCCAGAAUGAUCUUUUUCGUUACGGAUAGGGCUUCUGAUCUGUGCGAGAGGAUAAGAAUCCCAGUUCUUUAGUUUGAUAUUAUAAUACGUGUCUAGCUAUUAGUUUCCCC